UACGGAGGGGGCUAGCGUUGUUCGGAAUUACUGGGCGUAAAGCGCGCGUAGGCGGACCUGCAAGUCGGGGGUGAAAGCCCGAGGCUCAACCUCGGAACUGCCUUCGAUACUGCGGGUCUCGAGUCCGGGAGAGGUGAGUGGAAUUCCUAGUGUAGAGGUGAAAUUCGUAGAUAUUAGGAAGAACACCAGUGGCGAAGGCGGCUCACUGACCCGGUACUGACGCUGAGGCGCGAAAGCGUGGGGAGCAAACAGG
RNAcentral lists this ribosomal RNA (253 nucleotides) under uncultured bacterium. Its description in RNAcentral is "partial 16S ribosomal RNA". It matches the Rfam family "Bacterial small subunit ribosomal RNA", at positions 524 to 776 of the family's 1533-position model. The record is from RNAcentral.